Molecule: ribosomal RNA, 274 nt
Filed under: uncultured bacterium
Lineage: Bacteria
Description: partial 16S ribosomal RNA
Rfam family: Bacterial small subunit ribosomal RNA
Source: RNAcentral
AUACGGAGGGUGCGAGCGUUAAUCGGAAUUACUGGGCGUAAAGCGUGCGUAGGCGGUUUGCUAAGUCAGAUGUGAAAGCCCCGGGCUUAACCUGGGAACUGCAUUUGAUACUGGCAGACUAGAGUAUGAUAGAGGGGGGUAGAAUUCCUGGUGUAGCGGUGAAAUGCGUAGAUAUCAGGAGGAAUACCAGUGGCGAAGGCGGCCCCCUGGAUCAAUACUGACGCUGAGGUACGAAAGCGCGGGGAGCGAACAGGAUUAGAAACCCUAGUAGUCC